Molecule: long non-coding RNA, 1885 nt
Organism: Apteryx haastii (Great spotted kiwi)
Lineage: Eukaryota; Metazoa; Chordata; Aves; Apterygiformes; Apterygidae
Source: Ensembl
CCCCCGGCCGCUCACCCUCUCCCCCACGGCCCGGAGCAGGGGCUCUGAGGGGAKGGACAGGCUGGCUCCCACGACGACGAGCCCCCCUCCGCCCUUACCGGCUCCGCGGGACCCCCGGUACCGACGGGGAGGGGUGGGGGGGUGCCGGAGCCUCACUCUCCUGCUCCGCCUCCCCCGGCGCACCCGAGCGGGGGCACCCGCCGCUACUUCCGCGUGCUGCGCACGCGCCGGCCACGUGACGGCGGGGAGGAGCGCGGGCGGGGCGGAAGGCGGGCGGCCGCCAUAGCUGCCGAGGCGGAAGGAGCGGGCCGAGGCGCCAUUGCUACCGAGGCAAAACGGGGAGUCACGUGAGCGCGCGGCGGGGAGGUUGCCUGGGGCCGGGGGAGCCGCCACGGCCGCCCCUCCGCUCCCCGGGCAGCGACCCCCCAGCCAGGCGUCACGGCCCUGCGGCUGUGCCGCUUUACCSUGCCUCCCGCCCCCGCGCUGCCUGGCCCAGGGCUAAGGGGGACCCGUUGCUGCCACCCAGUGGAGGAUAUUUUAUUUAUUUUAUUUUGGGUGUAYGUGAGAAAUCCUAUUGGUUUAAGUAAAAGUGCCGGUGAGCGAAAAGCACGCCGUUCCAGUUUGAGAGGACGCUCGGAGGGGCUGGCUAAGAUAAGCGGCCUGGCGUUGUCAGUGACCCAAACGCACGAGGCAGCAGAUAACAAACCUUUGUUCGCAGCAGCGCACAAACAACAUUUGUCCAAGAUGACGCUGUUGUUCUCUCCAGGCUUUCAUAAUUCGUGACUGCAAGACAAACAACUUUUAUCAAUGCCUGUCAGUACGCCCUUGAAUCCAACCUGCUAUUCCUGUCUGACUGUCUCAAAAAAAGCUCCCAAAAGAAUUCAGUGGUGGAUUUAAUACAGAUUAACAUUGGAUUGGCAGCUGCCUGGCUGUAGGUGGUGCUGACUGCAGGUGGUGCUGUUAAACCUGUAUUUUACAAGGAUUAAAAUCCAUCCAGACUGUGGCAGAAAUUAAAAUAUUCAAUGUUCAUAUUAUAUGCAGGCAAGCAGUACAGAGUGGAAUCCCUGCUGUUAGCAUGGUCUAAAGGUAUUCACUGUGCGGCAGCUCGGGUUAGUAGAUGAGACCAUCAGGUAAUGUAUUCUCAUCUCUGAGCUAUUACCCAAAAAGGCAGCUGGGAUCAAUUAGCUGCACUUUGUCAGUAUGUGACAGAUGAAAGCUGAAGGAGUGUGGAAAGAAGGAAACACACCCACAGAUGCUUGUCAGCAGUAGGUGUGUUUUCCCUGAGGUAUGUCUAAAGCAUGCAUUUGACUGCUUGGCUUUAUGCAUAUUUGUGAUUGCAGAUCUGACGGGAGAUCAGCCCAUGAUAGCAGGCAUUAUUUUCAUCUCUCAAAGUUGUUCUAAUUUUUAAUAUUUUCAGUUGCUGUUUCAGUUUGCUGCUUAUGAAAGGCUUAUUUAUUAUUUCGGAGAUCGAUGGGAAAUAUUUCCCACGUAUUACCUGGUGUUUAGAAUCUGGAAGCAAAAAAUAAUUGUUUCACAUUUCAAAAGUUCCUCUCCAAUCGGUUGUCUGUUUAGUCCCUGCUGGGUCUUCGCCGGGCUUUGUGUCUCCCAAAUCCUACCGCUGUAGGUGCUGGUUGCACAUGUGGUGGAGUUGGCCUUAGCAACACAGGGCGAGAGCUGAGCACUGAGUGCAGGGGCUUGCUGCGAUCUCUGAUUAAUUCUUUCUCCUGAUGAGUCGCACCGCUGUAUGAGCGCUUUAUAAAUUAAGCAUAAUGCAGCCUGGAGUGUUAGCUUUACGUUCUCCUGUUUGGGAGUCCAGGACUAUGCAGACGUGGGAAUAACGCUGUGUAAAAAUAAACACAUGUCACAGAUGCUGGGAAGGAAAUUG